This is a non-coding RNA of Araneus ventricosus, 80 nucleotides long. The record is from the annotation of a GenBank genome assembly. NCBI's taxonomy places the organism in Eukaryota, Metazoa, Arthropoda, Arachnida, Araneae, Araneidae.
GGUAGCGUGGCCGAGCGGACUAAGGCGCUGGUUUAAGGCACCGUCUCUUCGGAGGCGUGGUUCGAAUCCAACCGCUGCCA